AUGCUGAAAUGGAUUAGCAGUAGCCCGGACGCCUCCUUUCCGCCAUGGUCGAGCUCUCAGAGACCCUCCUCUGUCAUCUUGCAUUUGAUCGAACACCUAGCUGGCAGCGUGGCAAGAGACGGCCGCACUGCGGGGGUAGUGUGCCACUGGGGUUUCAAGGUCCUCCUCUUCCUCCCCGAUCACGGGCGCCGUGAUGGUCACAUACUUCGGCCAAGCUAUCGCUGCUGUGUGGUGGCCACCACCGCGCCUCCUCUGCGUCCGAGCCGUCGUGCAUGCGUACUUUACGCCGUGCAGGCCCGAGGCCCCGCCUCACGCCCUAGCCAUCGUGCUGUUCCGGGCCGCUGCACGCGUCCGAGCGCCGGGCUCGCCGUUCGCCAUGCGCACGGGUGA
RNAcentral lists this ribosomal RNA (390 nucleotides) under Triticum aestivum (bread wheat). RNAcentral's name for it is "partial small subunit ribosomal RNA". Lineage: Eukaryota; Viridiplantae; Streptophyta; Magnoliopsida; Poales; Poaceae. The record is from RNAcentral.